GCUGAGGGAGUAAGAAAAAAGAAGAAGAAACAACAGAAAAAACAAAAGAAAAGAAAAUUAAUUAAAGGGAACAAAAAAAUUGGGGGAGAAAAGUCAAAAAGAAAAAGAAAAGUAAGUUUUUUUUUAAAUUUUUUAUAUUAUGACAUCAUCAUGACAUCAUUUAUGUCACGUAUCACAAUAUUAUUCCGUUACCUGUCUUGAACUUAAUGACGUUAGGCUCAAGUAUCAAUUAGGGGUGUUCAAUUGGUUAAC
Molecule: long non-coding RNA, 252 nt
Filed under: Gossypium barbadense (sea-island cotton)
Lineage: Eukaryota; Viridiplantae; Streptophyta; Magnoliopsida; Malvales; Malvaceae
Description: long non-coding RNA (GBAR_LNC007020)
Source: RNAcentral